RNAcentral lists this ribosomal RNA (1359 nucleotides) under uncultured bacterium. RNAcentral describes it as "bacterial SSU rRNA". It matches the Rfam family "Bacterial small subunit ribosomal RNA", at positions 28 to 1381 of the family's 1533-position model. The record is from RNAcentral.
GAUGAACGCUAGCUACAGGCUUAACACAUGCAAGUCGAGGGGCAGCAUUUCAGUUUGCUUGCAAACUGGAGAUGGCGACCGGCGCACGGGUGAGUAACACGUAUCCAACCUGCCGAUAACUCGGGGAUAGCCUUUCGAAAGAAAGAUUAAUACCCGAUGGCAUAAUUAGACCGCAUGGUCUUAUUAUUAAAGAAUUUCGGUUAUCGAUGGGGAUGCGUUCCAUUAGGCAGUUGGUGAGGUAACGGCUCACCAAACCUUCGAUGGAUAGGGGUUCUGAGAGGAAGGUCCCCCACAUUGGAACUGAGACACGGUCCAAACUCCUACGGGAGGCAGCAGUGAGGAAUAUUGGUCAAUGGGCGCAGGCCUGAACCAGCCAAGUAGCGUGAAGGAUGACUGCCCUAUGGGUUGUAAACUUCUUUUAUAUGGGAAUAAAGUUUUCCACGCGUGGAAUUUUGUAUGUACCAUAUGAAUAAGGAUCGGCUAACUCCGUGCCAGCAGCCGCGGUAAUACGGAGGAUCCGAGCGUUAUCCGGAUUUAUUGGGUUUAAAGGGAGCGUAGGUGGACAGUUAAGUCAGUUGUGAAAGUUUGCGGCUCAACCGUAAAAUUGCAGUUGAUACUGGCUGUCUUGAGUACAGUAGAGGUGGGCGGAAUUCGUGGUGUAGCGGUGAAAUGCUUAGAUAUCACGAAGAACUCCGAUUGCGAAGGCAGCUCACUGGACUGCAACUGACACUGAUGCUCGAAAGUGUGGGUAUCAAACAGGAUUAGAUACCCUGGUAGUCCACACAGUAAACGAUGAAUACUCGCUGUUUGCGAUAUACAGUAAGCGGCCAAGCGAAAGCAUUAAGUAUUCCACCUGGGGAGUACGCCGGCAACGGUGAAACUCAAAGGAAUUGACGGGGGCCCGCACAAGCGGAGGAACAUGUGGUUUAAUUCGAUGAUACGCGAGGAACCUUACCCGGGCUUAAAUUGCAUUUGAAUAUAUUGGAAACAGUAUAGCCGUAAGGCAAAUGUGAAGGUGCUGCAUGGUUGUCGUCAGCUCGUGCCGUGAGGUGUCGGCUUAAGUGCCAUAACGAGCGCAACCCUUAUCUUUAGUUACUAACAGGUCAUGCUGAGGACUCUAGAGAGACUGCCGUCGUAAGAUGUGAGGAAGGUGGGGAUGACGUCAAAUCAGCACGGCCCUUACGUCCGGGGCUACACACGUGUUACAAUGGGGGGUACAGAAGGCAGCUACCUGGUGACAGGAUGCUAAUCCCAAAAGCCUCUCUCAGUUCGGAUCGAAGUCUGCAACCCGACUUCGUGAAGCUGGAUUCGCUAGUAAUCGCGCAUCAGCCAUGGCGCGGUGAAUACGUUCCCGGGCCU